AUUGAACGCUGGCGGCAGGCCUAACACAUGCAAGUCGAACGGUAACAGGAAACAGCUUGCUGUUUCGCUGACGAGUGGCGGACGGGUGAGUAAUGUCUGGGAAACUGCCUGAUGGAGGGGGAUAACUACUGGAAACGGUAGCUAAUACCGCAUAACGUCGCAAGACCAAAGAGGGGGACCUUCGGGCCUCUUGCCAUCGGAUGUGCCCAGAUGGGAUUAGCUAGUAGGUGGGGUAACGGCUCACCUAGGCGACGAUCCCUAGCUGGUCUGAGAGGAUGACCAGCCACACUGGAACUGAGACACGGUCCAGACUCCCACGGGAGGCAGCAGUGGGGAAUAUUGCACAAUGGGCGCAAGCCUGAUGCAGCCAUGCCGCGUGUAUGAAGAAGGCCUUCGGGUUGUAAAGUACUUUCAGCGGGGAGGAAGGGAGUAAAGUUAAUACCUUUACUCAUUGACGUUACCCGCAGAAGAAGCACCGGCUAACUCCGUG
RNAcentral lists this ribosomal RNA (490 nucleotides) under uncultured bacterium. Its description in RNAcentral is "partial 16S ribosomal RNA". It matches the Rfam family "Bacterial small subunit ribosomal RNA", at positions 30 to 507 of the family's 1533-position model. The record is from RNAcentral.